This 241-nucleotide ribosomal RNA is filed under the name uncultured Actinomycetales bacterium. Its description in RNAcentral is "partial 16S ribosomal RNA". It matches the Rfam family "Bacterial small subunit ribosomal RNA", at positions 89 to 334 of the family's 1533-position model. The record is from RNAcentral. Lineage: Bacteria; Bacillati; Actinomycetota; Actinomycetes; Actinomycetales.
ACUCGAGUGGCGAACGGGUGAGUAACACGUGGGUGAUCUGCCCUGCACUUCGGGAUAAGCCUGGGAAACUGGGUCUAAUACCGGAUAGGAGCCAUUUUUAGUGUGAUGGUUGGAAAGUUUUUCGGUGUAGGAUGAGCUCGCGGCCUAUCAGCUUGUUGGUGGGGUAAUGGCCUACCAAGGCGGCGACGGGUAGCUGGCCUGAGAGGGUGGACGGCCACAUUGGGACUGAGAUACGGCCCAG